Molecule: ribosomal RNA, 430 nt
Filed under: uncultured bacterium
Lineage: Bacteria
Description: bacterial SSU rRNA
Rfam family: Bacterial small subunit ribosomal RNA
Source: RNAcentral
AACGACGCUGGCGGCAGGCCUAAAACAUGCAAGUCGAACGAACCUUCGGGUUAGUGGCGCACGGGUGAGUAACGCGUGGGAAUGUGCCUCUGGGUGCGGAACAACGUCGGGAAACUGACGCUAAUACCGCAUAAUGUCUACGGACCAAAGAUUUAUCGCCCAGAGAUCAGCCCGCGUCUGAUUAGCUAGUUGGUGAGGUAACGGCUCACCAAGGCUACGAUCAGUAGCUGGUCUGAGAGGAUGAUCAGCCACACUGGAACUGAGACACGGUCCAGACUCCUACGGGAGGCAGCAGUUAGGAAUAUUGGACAAUGGGGGAAACCCUGAUCCAGCCAUGCCGCGUGUGUGAAGAAGGCCUUAGGGUUGUAAAGCACUUUCGGCUGUGAAGAUAAUGACAGUGGCAGAAGAAGAAGCUCCGGCUAAAUUCGUG